UUAUUAUGCGACCCUGUUUUCACCGAAAAAAUGAAGAAAACUCGGAAGGGUUUUUAUCAAUCUUUUUAAAUGAAACUUUGAUUUUCAAUCAUUUCAGCCCCUCGUACAAGAUAUGGUGAAUUGAAUUGUAGUCAUUCAUGUACCAAAUGAUUCUUGUUUACUGCAAAAUUGGCAACCGAAACGACACUUCUCACUGCAAAUUUUGAAAAAUACUCCCAAGAAAACUCAUUUAUUUUAGGUUUAAAAAGAGAAAAUGAAAACUGUAACUAUUUCAGCCGCUAGUUUAGGAAAUGAUUAUUUAAGAACGUUAACGGUUUUUGAAUAAAUACUAAUAGUUACGUCGUAAUGUUGAAUGAAAAAGGAGGCAUUUUGCAAAAUACGCUCGUUUGUAGGAAUAAGGACUCUUAAGAUUUUCACACAAAAAUAGAAAAAAAAAAACAAAAAAUUUUUGGGG
Cydia strobilella is the source of this 454-nucleotide long non-coding RNA. RefSeq lists it as uncharacterized. The record is from RefSeq and is a predicted model, not a curated record. The transcript is spliced from 2 exons. NCBI's taxonomy places the organism in Eukaryota, Metazoa, Arthropoda, Insecta, Lepidoptera, Tortricidae.